RNAcentral lists this ribosomal RNA (368 nucleotides) under Escherichia coli. RNAcentral's name for it is "partial 23S ribosomal RNA". It matches the Rfam family "Bacterial large subunit ribosomal RNA", at positions 422 to 792 of the family's 2925-position model. Lineage: Bacteria; Pseudomonadati; Pseudomonadota; Gammaproteobacteria; Enterobacterales; Enterobacteriaceae. The record is from RNAcentral.
ACACGUGGUAUCCUGUCUGAAUAUGGGGGGACCAUCCUCCAAGGCUAAAUACUCCUGACUGACCGAUAGUGAACCAGUACCGUGAGGGAAAGGCGAAAAGAACCCCGGCGAGGGGAGUGAAAAAGAACCUGAAACCGUGUACGUACAAGCAGUGGGAGCACGCUUAGGCGUGUGACUGCGUACCUUUUGUAUAAUGGGUCAGCGACUUAUAUUCUGUAGCAAGGUUAACCGAAUAGGGGAGCCGAAGGGAAACCGAGUCUUAACUGGGCGUUAAGUUGCAGGGUAUAGACCCGAAACCCGGUGAUCUAGCCAUGGGCAGGUUGAAGGUUGGGUAACACUAACUGGAGGACCGAACCGACUAAUGUUGA